This 253-nucleotide ribosomal RNA is filed under the name uncultured bacterium. Its description in RNAcentral is "partial 16S ribosomal RNA". It matches the Rfam family "Bacterial small subunit ribosomal RNA", at positions 524 to 776 of the family's 1533-position model. The record is from RNAcentral.
UACGAAGGGUGCAAGCGUUACUCGGAAUUACUGGGCGUAAAGGGUGCGUAGGUGGUUGUUUAAGUCUGCUGUGAAAGCCCCGGGCUCAACCUGGGAAUGGCAGUGGAUACUGGACAGCUAGAGUGCGGUAGAGGGUAGUGGAAUUCCCGGUGUAGCAGUGAAAUGCGUAGAGAUCGGGAGGAACACCAGUGGCGAAGGCGGCUCACUGGCCCGGUACUGACGCUGAGGUGCGAAAGCGUGGGGAGCAAACAGG